CAUGUCCCAGUUCCCAACCACUAAGGGGAAUAUUCCACUUAAUUAAGAGAUUUUUCGAUAAAAAUAAAUAAAUAACCACUUAAUUGAGUUCUACGAUUUAUAAUCUAUGCAUAGAACAACGGUUAAAAUAAUCCUUGCGCUCUUUGUAGUAAUUUUUUCGAGUUUCUUGAGAGUGCACGCGCUGCCCCGGGAAACGAAGCGCAUGUGUAAGCUAGUUUGUUAAGAAUUGACAAAGUACAAUUGUAACUAUUGUCGCCUUCAUUUUAUAUAUAUAUUGAACAAGUUAUAGCUUUUUAUAUUAAGGAAGAUGUAGAGAAUGCAAACCUAGGGUCGAAAUUUAGUUAAAAUUGCCGAUAAAUUGUUAAUUUGCAUGGUUGGGUACUCGGACGUUUCAACCGUAUGGUGUACCAAUAGCAAACCAAGUGGCUGGAUACUGGUACAACCAGGCGAUCGGAUAAUGUCUUAAUUGUCGGACGCGUGUAUCAAUAGCGAACCAAGUGGCUGGAUACUGGUGCAACCAGGCGAUCGGAUGAUGUCCCAAUUGCCGGACGCAACGAACUCAGCGACCAUAACUUUGAUGAAAAUUAACACGAACGAUCAGCAUUGACGCGCGGCAUUGUUUACUAGUGUGCUUAAAGUGUGUUUAAAAUUACGCUAAACUAAGGCGAUUAUUCGCAGGACAUCGAGUGGCCCGAGUGGCCGGAUAUCGGGACAUAACCAAAAACUGAUGGUCGGGUACUGGGACAUUUUCUCGCAUUUUCCGAAAAAAUCAAAUUAACUAUUACCGAUGGAACUAAUUAUUGGAUGGUUUCCAGAAACGCGUCUUAAAGGGUCCGCUACUGGGACGUUUACCUUACUUAUCAAAUGCUUUUAAAAAAACGUUCGGCUGCGCUCUCUGAAUGAGGCGCUCUCUGAUAAGCAUGUCGAGUGGAGCAGAAUAAGGAGCCAAAUAAAAGAAAUCCAAGUUGAUAUAAAUUCUCAAAACAUAAAAAUUAACCAAUCAAAAAGCUGCAGCGAUACAGCAUAAAAGUGAAUACUGAUUUAAAAAAUAAAUAUUGAUAAAAAAAACUAAAAACAUAGUUUCCCACUGUCCUAGAUUAAUAUCGUCUUGAAAGGGUUAACGAGCGUUUCUAGGACGAGUGAAAAAAGAGGGCGGAAAAAGGGGGAGAGAUCUCAACCGGAGUUCAGAUUGUUAUUCUCGAUAAUAUACGAUGUUUUAAUGAUACUACCGCCGAUCUGCAUGAUAAAUCGAUUUCUGAGACGGUCGACAAAUUCCGUUUCAAAACGCGGCCAAGGGACGUUAUAUAACGUUCAAUUAAUCUCGCAUGACUAUAUCCGUGUCGCGGAUAACGUAAUUAAUUAAUAACUGAGUGAAGAGCUAUUUCGACAAGUCGUAACUCUUGCUUAUAUAUUAGCGAAAAUUGAAAUGCGACUUUAACUAACGACGUUCUCGAUUGAAUAUUCACGGAUCUGGUAAAUUAAGCUCUCGAAGGUUGAAUUGGCCAGAAGACAUGACGUUUCGGGGUGUUUCAAAUAAGUAUUACCUUUGUGGUGGUUGAAAAAUGGCGAAACCAAAAGAAAAGCAUCGGGUUCCGCCAAGGACGCCGGAUGCUGAACCGUCGAAGGUCACCCCCGUGAGUAAUUUACAUUACUCUUCCAAACCUUGCAGCGACAAAUAGCAAUCUCGUUCAUCAUGCCGUGGCGCGCGUCUUCUCGACUAUGCUAAACAACGAAAUGUCGGAAAAUCGAACAAAUUGCAUAAAAAUACAAGACAUGGAUUUUCAAACCGUAAAGAAAAUGUUGCAUCACUUAAAAAAUGGCGACAUUUACAUACACGUGGACAAUUACAACAUUUAGUAAAAGUGUCACAAACAUAAUGAAAAAAUUAGUGACAAGAAAACUUGCAUUAAUAUGCACAGCACAAAAAAAAAUUGAUGCCAAAAUUGUUCUAAAAGAAACUCCGAUCUGCGACUGCAUUAUUGAUGUUGUUGUAAACAUUAUUGAGAAGCAUGGAAAAUGUAUUACCCAAAAAGAAAUAUAUUCAGCUAUAGGCAUUACUUUAAGGGGUAACGCCACCCUUGAGACCCAAAAGUUAUAUCUAAAUUUGGGAAUUUUUUGUGGGAAUUUUGUGUAAAUUCGUAUUUGAGACUUAUAAACUUCUCAUAGAACAUCAGAUGUAUUAUAACAAAACUGCUUACGAACUCAAAUUGACAAAAAAAAUUGAAUACAAAAGCCAAGAUGAUUUAAAAGAUUACAAAACUU
Long non-coding RNA from Temnothorax curvispinosus, 2262 nucleotides. RefSeq lists it as uncharacterized. NCBI's taxonomy places the organism in Eukaryota, Metazoa, Arthropoda, Insecta, Hymenoptera, Formicidae. The transcript has 6 exons. The record is from RefSeq and is a predicted model, not a curated record.